GACGAACGCUGGCGGCGUGCUUAACACAUGCAAGUCGAACGGAAAGGCCCUGCUUUUGUGGGGUGCUCGAGUGGCGAACGGGUGAGUAACACGUGAGUAACCUGCCCUUGACUUUGGGAUAACUUCAGGUAACUGGGGCUAAUACCGGAUAGGAUCUCCUGCUGCAUGGUGGGGGUUGGAAAGUUUCGGCGGUUGGGGAUGGACUCGCGGCUUAUCAGCUUGUUGGUGGGGUAGUGGCUUACCAAGGCUUUGACGGGUAGCCGGCCUGAGAGGGUGACCGGCCACCUUGGGACUGAGAUACGGCCCAGACUGCUACGGGAGGCAGCAGUGGGGAAUAUUGCACAAUGGGCGGAAGCCUGAUGCAGCAACGCCGCGUGCGGGAUGACGGCCUUCGGGUUGUAAACCGCUUUCGCCUGUGACGAAGCGUGAGUGACGGUAAUGGGUAAAGAAGCACCGGCUAACUACGUG
Molecule: ribosomal RNA, 468 nt
Filed under: uncultured bacterium
Lineage: Bacteria
Description: partial 16S ribosomal RNA
Rfam family: Bacterial small subunit ribosomal RNA
Source: RNAcentral